GGGACCUCAGGUCAGGCGGGGCUACCCGCUGAGUUUAAGCAUAUCAAUAAGCGGAGGAAAAGA
RNAcentral lists this ribosomal RNA (63 nucleotides) under Podalyria calyptrata. Its description in RNAcentral is "partial 26S ribosomal RNA". It matches the Rfam family "Eukaryotic large subunit ribosomal RNA", at positions 1 to 62 of the family's 3401-position model. RNAcentral also lists the same sequence under 1 other name. The record is from RNAcentral. Lineage: Eukaryota; Viridiplantae; Streptophyta; Magnoliopsida; Fabales; Fabaceae.